Parasteatoda tepidariorum (common house spider) is the source of this 262-nucleotide non-coding RNA. NCBI's taxonomy places the organism in Eukaryota, Metazoa, Arthropoda, Arachnida, Araneae, Theridiidae. The record is from RefSeq and is a predicted model, not a curated record.
GUUAAGAUCGCCUCAAACUAAUCCUUAAGCGAGGGAGAAAAAAACAGUUAAUAAAACCGAACGAAUCAUUAACGAAGUAGGUGUGAUUAAAAGCUUUAAAACUGUUUGAUUUCCGGAGGUAUCUAUCUGAGAGUAAAUACAUUAAUUCGAAGACAAUAUGAAGCUGUCAACUUUUCAUCUUGUCUAGUAAAACAAGGAAAUACUUAGAAACUCUUGCAUUUAGGAAUUAUGUAAAUUAAGAGAACGAAUACAUUGCACAAGG